CGUGCCCAUAACUGUCUAAAUAUAGGGUAAAAAACCCACGAUGUUAGAAUAUGGGAUUAGAAUGUUUCAUAGUUAUAUGAAUACCUAUGGG
This is a long non-coding RNA of Pectinophora gossypiella (pink bollworm), 91 nucleotides long. RefSeq lists it as uncharacterized. The transcript has 2 exons. NCBI's taxonomy places the organism in Eukaryota, Metazoa, Arthropoda, Insecta, Lepidoptera, Gelechiidae. The record is from RefSeq and is a predicted model, not a curated record.